This 323-nucleotide ribosomal RNA is filed under the name uncultured eukaryote. Its description in RNAcentral is "partial 18S ribosomal RNA". It matches the Rfam family "Eukaryotic small subunit ribosomal RNA", at positions 1470 to 1796 of the family's 1831-position model. The record is from RNAcentral.
CCCUUAGAUGUUCUGGGCUGCACGCGUGCUACACUGAUAUUGCCAAUAUGUCAUUCUUAUCCGAAAUGGAUUGGGUAAUCAAGUAAUGAAAUUUCAUGCUUGGAAUCGGUAAUUGCAAUUUUAUCGUGAACGAGGAAUUCCUAGUAGGCACUAGUCAUCAGCUAAUGUUGAUUAUGUCCCUGCCCUUUGUACACACCGCCCGUCGCUACUACUGAUUGGGUGUUCAAGUGAGAUGCUUAGACCCUUGUUGCAUGGUUCAUUAUUGUGCUCCGAAAGGAAAAAGUUUCAAGCUUGAGUGUCUAGAGGAAGUAAAAGUCGUAACA